This 386-nucleotide ribosomal RNA is filed under the name Eucyclops cf. serrulatus clade IV. RNAcentral's name for it is "partial 12S small subunit ribosomal RNA". The record is from RNAcentral. Lineage: Eukaryota; Metazoa; Arthropoda; Copepoda; Cyclopoida; Cyclopidae.
CUUAGUUUAGUUAAAAUCGAUAUUUUUUACCUUUAGUCAAAUCCUAAAUUUAUUAGCUGGGUGUAAGGCAUUUAAGGAUAGCUUUAAAAGUCUAUGUGUGAUUUGAAUGCAACAAAUUAUUUUAAUUUUAAACAACCAUAAAUAUAACUAAUUAAAAUAAAUAAAAUCGGGGAUUGUCGAAUUUUUCUUAAAUUCUCUGAUUGAAGUAAACAGCAGCCAUAUACUUUAAGUUUUUAAAUACUACUUUUAAUAGGAUAGUACUUAGGAGCUAAUCUAAUUUCAGUAAUUAAUUUUGUCUUUUAUUCACUAGCUUUAAAUUUAUUAUAUUGAACUAUAAAAUUAAUAAGUUAGUUAAAUAUAAGUAUAACUUUAAUUGUGACAAAGUA